RNAcentral lists this ribosomal RNA (758 nucleotides) under Triticum aestivum (bread wheat). RNAcentral describes it as "partial small subunit ribosomal RNA". The record is from RNAcentral. Lineage: Eukaryota; Viridiplantae; Streptophyta; Magnoliopsida; Poales; Poaceae.
UGAAAAUCUAAAAACAAGCAAAAAAACAACAACUGACACUGGGCACUAGGUUAAUAGGUUUAACCCAAAAAAGAUAUAUAAUUGCAUAUAAACAUCCAAGAUUGAUACUAUAGUAGUAUGGAACAAUCAAAAAUUAUAUAUACGCCGGAUACGUAUCAGGCACCUUCAGCUCCGCCUCUAGCUCGGGCUUGGGGAUGCGGAGGUUGCCUUGCCGCGCGGAUAGUGGUGUCAAAACAGCCCCGGGGGCUUGCACGCGGCGCGAGCCGACCACCUGCUCGUAGGAGUGGUCGUCCCACCGGGCGUGCCGUGCAACGACUUUCUUUUACGCCGGUGGGAACACACCCUCAAACCGCCAAAGACGGUUCAGACUGUCCUGCUCGAGGAUCAUCGGCCAGAGCAUGUUGUUGACGCUGUAGAAAGGGUCGUCCCUCUCCUCCGGCAAUAGCCUCACCUAGAACUCCCUCGUCCAAGCACGUAUCCGGUCGAAGUCGGCCUCGGGGACCGACGACACCGAAAUCCCCUCGAUGCUAAGCUUCCACCCCGACGACAGUCGGAUGUCCGGCGGCGUGACGCCGCCCAAACGGUCGAGCUCGUUCGCCUGCUAGAUGAUGAGGCUACUCCGCCCUCCUCCCCACAUGGCCGACGCGACGACGUGGGCAGCGACUGUGUUUUAGGCUAGGGUUACUGGCGGUGGCGGCAGCGGCGGCGGCCUUCUUCUGGGCUCGGUGGCAAUGGUGCAGUGCAUGGGGGUGUGUGUG